Long non-coding RNA from Scomber scombrus (Atlantic mackerel), 441 nucleotides. RefSeq lists it as uncharacterized. The transcript has 3 exons. NCBI's taxonomy places the organism in Eukaryota, Metazoa, Chordata, Actinopteri, Scombriformes, Scombridae. The record is from RefSeq and is a predicted model, not a curated record.
GGGCUCCAGUGUUAUUGGUAUGAGGGAAUGAUGAAGAGCAGCAUGCAGAGUAUGUAGAGCUCAGCUAUGAGAGACAGAACCUGUCCAUGUUAUCAUCUGAUAGUUUCAGCAAUAAACACAACUCUACUGAAGCUCAGUGAUUCGUGUGAAAGCGAUAAAACAGCUCUGAGACAAACUGCUGAGUUCAGGCUGGAAAAACACAUCUACUCCUCUGUUUCCUGGCUGCAGGGGAGAGCAGUGAUUGGCUGCUGAGGUCUGGAAGUUAUUUCCAGGUUGCAGUGAAUCUGUUGGUAUUUCCUGGACUCAGACACACGAGCUGCACAGUUGUUGAGACAAAAAGGCCGACAAAAGUCUGUAGACCCCACCAGCUGUGUGAUGUGAACUGUCUCUGCUGCUCAGUCUGAGGACAGCUGGACGGAGGGGACACCAAACGGCGCUGGG